CAGUCGCCGCGGUAAUACGAAGGGUGCAAGCGUUAAUCGGAAUUACUGGGCGUAAAGCGUGCGUAGGCGGUGAGUUAAGUCUGCUGUGAAAUCCCCGGGCUCAACCUGGGAAUGGCAGUGGAUACUGGCUCGCUAGAGUGUGUCAGAGGAUGGUGGAAUUCCCGGUGUAGCGGUGAAAUGCGUAGAGAUCGGGAGGAACAUCAGUGGCGAAGGCGGCCGUCUGGGACAACACUGACGCUGAGGCACGAAAGCGUGGGGAGCAAACAGGAUUAGAUACCCCCGUAGUCCCUGUCUCUUAUAC
Molecule: ribosomal RNA, 301 nt
Filed under: uncultured bacterium
Lineage: Bacteria
Description: partial 16S ribosomal RNA
Rfam family: Bacterial small subunit ribosomal RNA
Source: RNAcentral